CCCUACGGGGUGCCGCAGGCCGGCGGACAUUACUUUGUGCUGAUUCUCGAGGCCAUGACCAGCGGCGUCUACCCGGCGCAGGCCAUCGACUGUCAGCACGGAUCGGGGCGACCGUUCGAGGCGCUGGUCGGCAUCAUCGAGGAGGGCCAGCGGAGAGGACAGGUCGUGCAGGCGGACCCAGCCCAGUUGGCAGUGACAUUCUUUUCUGCCGUUGUGGGGCUUGCCCUGCUCAAGAUGUCGGGCACCAUCCGGUCCAUGCCCGACCCGGAACUCCUGAUGAGAGUAUUCAGCGCUGCCUCGCCGGCAGCUGCGUCCUAGUGAGGUGAAAUCAUGCGUAAUCUU
This 342-nucleotide ribosomal RNA is filed under the name uncultured prokaryote. RNAcentral's name for it is "partial 16S ribosomal RNA". The record is from RNAcentral.